GGCCGGUGUCUCCGCUGGGCCGCCGUGCCCUUCCGCUCCCGCCCCGUUUGUGGUGCUGAGGAGUCCCUACCGGCGGAGAGCUGCGGGGCCAAGCCGUGCAUCCGUCAGCUGUCACGGGCAGGGGGACUGCAGCCGCAGGCCCGGGGGUACCCGGCGAGGCGGGGGAUAAGCGGCGAGAUCGAUGCGGUCGGCCCCGGAACGGUGUCAUCGGCCUUCCGCUUGCGCUACCUGCGGCGGCGGGUGUCUGACGGAGCGCCGGGAGCCGGGGCAGGGCCCGGCCGGGCGGAAGUGGCGGCGGGGCAGCUGCCGACAGCGUCCCGGCGCCCGUAGGAGCCCGACUCGCAGCUGUCAGCGGGGCUCGGGCGGACGGGUCGCAUCGCAGUUACUGCUGCUGUGAAAGGGGCCGCCCACCCGUCUGUCCGUCCGGCGGUCGGUCGAUGUGUGUCGCUGGCCCCGCGGCGUGCUUUGGCUAGGCGGCGGCGCGGGCCUGAGGCGGGAGGCGCCUGCGAGGAAAGCACCCUGUGCUCUGUCGAGUGCAGGCAGUAAAGGAGGUUUGGACACGGAGGAUCUCUUGUUAAGUGCCUGUCAAACCGUCCCCGGGCUCCCAGGCGACCGAGCCGUACGGCAGCACCGCCUGGCUGUGCAGACCGCUGCGCAGAUUUGGCGUAAGCAACACUACAGAAAGAAAAUGACCCACUGGUUUCAUCGCAACCCUUUGAAGGCUACAGCUCCAGUUUCAUUCAACUUUUAUGGGGUAGCUACUACUCCAGCUGCAACAAAGGUUUGCAAUGAUUUGAGGUUAUCUCGAACACGAUUGUUGGAGCUGUUUACAGACUCGAGUUGUAACCCAGAAAUGAUGAAGAAUGCAACUGACUUGUACUUCUCACUCCUGCAAGGUUUUAUCCUUUCACUGGAUGACUCUUCCCAAGAAUGCAAGUUGAGAUAUAUUCAGAAUUUUAAGUGGACAGACACGUUACAAGGACAAGUUCCAAGCGCGCAGCAGGAUGCAGUGUUUGAGCUGGUUUCCAUGGGAUUUAAUGUAGCUCUGUGGUACACAAAAUAUGCAUCAAGACUUGCUGGAAAAGAAGAUAUAACAGAAGAUGAAGCAAAGGAUGUUCACAGAAGCCUGAAGAUAGCAGCUGGGAUUUUUAAACACUUAAAGGAAAGUCACAUUCCAAAAUUGAUUACACCUGUAGAAAAAGGAAGAGAUUUAGAAGCUCGACUUAUAGACUCAUACAUCAUACAGUGUCAAGCUGAAGCUCAAGAAGUGACAAUCGCUCGGGCUAUUGAGCUGAAACACAAUCCAGGACUAAUAGCUGCUCUUGCUUAUGAAACAGCUAAUUUCUACCAAAAAGCUGAUCAAACAUUAUCCAGUUUGGAUCCAACCUAUGCAGGUAAAUGGAGGAAGUACUUAAACUUGAAGACCUGUUUCUAUAUGGCCUAUGCUUAUUGUUACCAUGGGCAAACUUUACUGGCAAGUGAUAAAUGUGGGGAAGCAAUCCGAUCUCUGCAGGAAUCAGAAAAAUUUUUUGCCAAGGCUGAAGCAUUGUGCAAAGAAUAUGGAGAAACCAAAGGGCCUGGGACUACUGCCAAACCUUCUGGACACCUCUUCUUCAGGAAAUUAGGAAGUUUGAUUAAGAACACGCUAGAAAAAUGCCAGAGGGAGAAUGGAUUCAUCUAUUUUCAGAAGGUGCCAACAGAGGCUCCACAGCUGGAACUGAAAGCAAACUAUGGCUUAGUAGAGCCUAUUCCUUUUGAAUUUCCUGCCUUGAACGCACACUGGACUCCUGAAACACUUGCAGCAUUUGAUCUCACCAAGAGGCCAAAGGAUGACACUGCUAAACCAAAACCAGAUGAAGAAGUAAAACCUCUGAAGGAACCAGAUAUAAAGCCUCAAAAAGACAGUGGAUGCCAGAUUUCUUAAGUGCCAUAAGUGCUUUGAAUUGACUUUGAAACUGUAUUAAUUGGACUUUGGGGCUUCAGUUCUGAUCUCCCUUUUUCUGAUUCUUCUUUUUUAAUUUAGAAAACUAAUUUAUUUUAAUUUAAUUAGUAUGAAUCUGUCUUGCUUGAGAAUGUGGUGGAUUUCUAGCAGUUUAUUUAUAUCUGACUUUUUGGGUUUAGUGGAAUGUCAUAGAAUGAGUGGGCUUAAAUGUUCCUCCUGUGCCUCUAGAGAGGUGUGUUUUUUUGUGGGUUGAGUUUCUACCCACAAAUAGCAAAGGACGGAUCAUGAUUGUUAACACUUGAAGAUUUUUCCAUUAAACUAUAUGGUAUAUAAUGUCAAAUUCUGCAAACAAAAGUUUGCACAGUUAUAUUUAUUCAGGUUUUGUCAUUCAGGCUUAACACCCUGUUGUAGUGAGUGAAAAAAACCUAUAACACCCCUAUGGUAUUUCACAGGACUUUGCCAGAACUUGGAAAACUUUAAUAUCUGCUUAACUGGAGCACAACUUACAUUCUUCUGAAACUAUUAGCCUCUGCUCUUUCCUCUAUAGACUAGGGUUCUUGUAUCAGAAUAUGUAUUAAGUACUUUAGCUUGUCUGUCCUUAAAUUAACAUCCUUUACUAUCAAAGUGUAUGUAAAAGUGAUGCAGCAAGUAAUAUGAAAGUGCUUAAAAGUAGUUCAUCAUGGUGUCAUUGAUUCAGAGUUUUUGAGUUUUGAAUUAUUUGGUUAAGUUUGAAAACUGCAGACAGUUAAAAUCUUGGGGUACUAGAAUUCAGGAAGUUGCCAUGUGUAAGAUUAUGGAAAUAUAAAUAAGGUGCUGUGCUUCCAUCUGGGUAGUGUCUAUAAGAAGCUGUUGGGAGAAUAGGGAGAAGAGAUGAGCUGAACAUCUGAUAGCACAACUGGGAAACCAAACUCCAGGUUUCCUUUAUGUCUCUUGUGAACAGUGCUGUUCCUCAGCCUUUGCAGUAAUGCACUGAAAUUAGCUUCUUCUAAAGAGAACUUGCAAAAAGCCAAGCCCAGUCAAGGCUGAGAAAAAAUUUUGUAGAACUUGUGUCUUCCAUUCUGCCUACUGUGGAAAAUGUGAUAACAUUCUUCAGUGCUGAACAUGGCAAAACACCCAUGUCAGCAAAAACAUAGAAUUCUGAUUUGCUGCAAAUGCAAAAGAAUAUGAUGCUUGUCUUAAGAGAGUCUUGAAGUCAUAAAAUCAGAACUGUAAGAUCAAGUCAAACCACUAACCUAACAGUACAAAGCCCACCACUAAACCAUGUCCCUCAACAUAUCAGCUACAUGGCUUUUCAGUUGAACCUCAUGCAAUUGGCCUCAGUCUGUCAAUCCAGCCUGUCUGGGUUCCUCUGUAGAGCCUUCCUGCUCUCAAGCAUGUGCUGUACUUCACUUUACCCGAGAAAGAAACUGAACAGACUGAAAAUGUUCCUGUUUCAAGAAAACAUGUUGGCAUAUGCAGUUAUCAUGGUGAUGCUGUAACGGGAUUCCUCUCUUUGUACUGUUUGGAUUGCCUCAUCUUCCACUGUGGUGUAAUUUGGUGCUUCUGUUUGGAAUCUUUUGUGGUACUUAGGGUAACUUAGCUUGGAGGGCACACGUGUAGCUCCCUCUGAAGACCUGUGGAACAGAAACUGUUGAGGUUAACAAGAAACUCAAUUAUCUUCCUGAAAUUUCUGAACCAAACUAUACAAUUUGUUGCAGCAAAAGGUGAAGAGGCUCUUAAUGCUGGCUCUUGUGGGUGAAUCAAAUGCAGAACUCAUUGUUUCCAGUGAUGGAUUUUUCUUUCAGCCAGUUGUGCACACAAAAAUAAGUGUAAAAUCAGCUAAAUUGCUUUGGAAGAUGUUUUCUGUUUUGCAAAGGCUUACGUGGGUAGAGGAUAAUGAGCAUUAAGAAGAAUUUAUAUCUAAAAUUGGUAUGUUUCUUCUGAUGCUGCACAGGGGCCUGGGGUAUAUUUUUAUUAAGAGUUACUCAAAUCUGUUAAUAACUUGAUCAGCUGCAUUUUUAGACUUCUUGCAUUGUUAAUAGACCAGCUUAGGUUUUGACAGAGUAGAGUGUGGAGCUACUUUGUUUAUAUAGAUUUUAAUUCUAAAAAUCUUACCACAGCAGGAGCCAUCUACAUCUGCUGAGCCUGCCUCCUUUAAGGAUCAAGAUGCAGUUAACUCAGUUGCAUAAUCCUGAUUUUUUUAUUUACUCAUUUCAGAUGCCUGUGUGAGACAUACAUACAUGUCUCAAUGAAUUUUCAUUCUGUGCAGACUAGAUUCCUUUUUCCUUCCUCCUCUCAUUUGCCAUUCCACCUGCUACACACUGUUCCCUUUGUUCGCUGAUGCAUGUUUAUGUCCUGGGACUGAUUUCCAAUGAGGCUUUUGCCCAUGGGUGUAUUUCAAUAUCUGAAUAUCUUGAACACAUCAUGACUAAAUCAUUCCCAAAAAACUCCUCGGGAAAGAUUAUUUUAUGGACUUGCAAUUCUUUGGAUGCUUUCUCAAACUAAGCAGUUUGUUGGAAUCAAGUUCACUGUAAAUAGUUUAGGGCACAACCAAGUGGAUUGUCUCAGAUUAUGGCAUUACUUAAGCCUAGCUGCGUAACCUCUUAUGCCAUAGCUGUUUCAGUAAAUAUGAUGUAGUGGUUUAAAAAUAGACUAAUGGAAGAAACUGAUUCACUUCACAUGUGUUGCUUUUCAAGACAAACUUUAUUUACUUGUAGUUAAAAUCCCGUGGCAAACAAUGGAUAGUUUUGCCCAAAAAUAACAAACUGGAGACCAUUUAGUUUGCAAAGUAGAGUGAGCUGUGAGUCAGCCAGCAGUUUUUUCUUGGUUUUGUUGGGUGGGUAGUAGCAAGAAUUAUUGUAAAUAAUAAGCAGAUUAACUGUCCAGUAUGCUUAAAAAUGUGCGUGAAUUGACUGGGAGUUUCAGUUAAUCUGGAAACCAACAGCCACCUUCCCUCUGUUAUGAUUUCCUUUUGUAAUUUUUAAGAAUGAGGUAUUUUGAAUCGUGACUUUUUAAUACUCUAAUGCUGCAGGAGCCUGUUUUUGUGGCCUCUUUCUGGUUUGAGAGGCUCUUGUGGCUGAACCUGCAAAUCUUGUUGGUGUAAAUAGUCUUAAAAAAAUUGUGCCUAGUCUAAACUAGGACAAAACUGCAGUUAAAUAAAAUGCAGAGUGCUGGGCCCUCUAUUUUGUGCUUUUAAAAAUGCAGUGAUUGUCUUUUAAUCUAAUAUAAAACCAUUAAUCUCUUUGUAAGAUUUCUAUUUAAAUUAAAUACUUUCCUCCAUGUGUUUAAAUACACUUCCUCCAUGUUUUGUGUUCCUGGGUUUACAGUAGUUAAACAUUUAAUCCAACAUUUGACACUCCUAGAACUGAGGGACUAAAUAUGGUCCUUGGAUGCUGAUGUCUGCCUCCCACUGCGUUCAGUAGAGGAGUUUUGCCUGUCAGCCUAUGGAUGACAUUUAGUCACUGAAAUGUUCAGCAUGGAUAUAUGGUGUAAUGAUGGUUGUGGUUCAUACUGUAAGGAAGAAAACAGAUUCUUUUAUCUUUAUAGAAUAGAGCCAAUUUUGCACUUCAGGAAGUUCUCAUCUAGCAAUUUCAGAAUAAUAUAACAUGGUUGUAAAUAUUCUUUCCUGUCAUUUUAAUUUUGUUGCACUGAUUUCAGUACUGUGCUAUUGGUAAGGUUUUUAUGGGAAAACAUUACUAAACUGUAUUUUCAGUUGUCUGUGUAUAAAACAAACUCAUGAAGCAUAUCUCUGCCUUUAGUAUUGGAGCAACAUGGAAAGAGGCAGCAAUUAAUCUGCUUUCUAUGUCAAUUCAGAGAAAUUUAAGGCUUCAAUUCAGAGAAAUUAUUGGCUGAGGGAUGAUAUGUUUCAUCCCAUCGUUUCGUCCUAGCUCUACAUUUAGUUCCUAAAUUGAAAUUUCUGCAUUAACAUAAAUUCUGUUCAUGUCUAUUAAUUAUCCAUUAUUAAAAAUCUGUCUCUGAAGUUCAUUGCUAAAUUAUCAUAGCAGCAUAAACUUCUUUUUUUUUCCCUUUGUCCCGCACGAUCUGACCUGGUUGAGUGAGGAAUAAAGCAUAAAAAUGUAACUGGCAUGGAAAAGCUAUUGCAGCAGGUAACUGUCUCCAGAUUUUGAGCGCAGUAUAAAGACCUUUCCAUAAUGUCUGUUGGUUUCACUCAGAUCUUUCCCUGCUGGUGAUGCUCUCCAAUUCAACAAAUGAUGUCACAUGGCAGCUGAGAGGGUCCUUGAUUAGCUUUUUUUGUAGGAAGGUCUACCCCCUUUGGUGUUGGUGCCUUCCUGGAUUACAGCCUUCUUGAAGCCAUCUUGUGCUCUGAAUAAUCAAGCUUCAGUGGAAUCAGCUCUGUAUGCCCAAAGGAGGACUUGAGUGAGCAAGAUACUUGUGUGAAUCAAGUGCAUAUGGAAAUAUUACCUACAGUGAAGCACUUGAACCCACGGAACAGGAAGGGAGGAGAUGGAAUUUCCAAACUUCUAUUUUAACACAAAGGAAGUAAUUAGGGAAGUCAAUUCUUGAUCACAGUUUCUUUGUCCUGUACCCAUCAAGGUUUCUUCUGUCUGGCCAACUGCUUCCUAUCACGGAGACUUCCACUUAGCCUACUGGGGAUGUCUCAGGACUCUGGUUAAAGAGUGAGUGUGGCUAUGUGGCGCUUAGCUGCCAAAGAGCGAUGUGAUACCAUCAGCAUCCACUGAGUGUCUGCAGAAGAGGAGUGCAGCAGCAUACAGGAGAAUUAGCCGUGAAUGUCUGGAAGAAAACACAAAUACAACAAGAAAUCUCCAUGGGGCAAAAUAUCAGUAUUAGAAACACGGGAAGCCAGAAAUAUAAGAGUGACUUUGGAGACCUCACCCACAAGUGGAUGCACUGUGUAGGACUUCCCAGUUGCCAGGGAUGGCUCUCCUGAUCCUUGCUGCAACCAGGGCUCCCCAGCGACUGCAGAUCUGGAUGAUGGCAAAGUAUUAGGGCAAUUGGUGAUGUACCUUUCUUAAUCACUAUCACUGUCCUUAUGUAGUAAUGAUUAGGUGCAUUACCUUACUUACGUUCUUUGCUGCUUAAAGGUAGAGCGUAACAGGCUUAUUGUUGUAACUAAAUGCAUUAUCUUAUUUUCUGUAAUAUUUUGAAGUAGAUGGUAAAAUAGGACUGCUCUUUUGGUUGGUGGCUGUGUCCUUUCCAUCAACACCAUCAUUUGGCAAAACAAAGACCAGUUAAGGAUACAGCGAGUUUCUCCCAGAGAGCUUUUGCAAAUAAUUUGUAAAUAUUAAUGAAGUUUCAGAAUGUGACCCAAAAAGUGUCUCAACUAUUGAAGUCUAAAUCUUGCUGUUCCAAUACAUCUCUAAUUAAAGUAAUUUAUAGGCUAUGAAUUGUUAUCAGGCCAUGGCAUAACACAUCUCUUCCCUUUGCCCAGCACAGCAAGAUUUUAAUGUUCAGUAGAGAAAAAAACAAUACAAUCAUUGAAGAGAAAAGGGAGUUUUGAGAUAACGAACAUGGACUCUGUGGCAUCUACCACUUUAAGUAAGCUGUGGAGAUAGCUGGAGCUUCUGUCAUCUAGUUCCCAUUUAACUGAAGCUGUUAUUUUCUGAUGCAUGGAUCACAGAUCUGUCACUAGCUGGUCGUUUCUGAAUGAGGAAAAAAAACCAAAACCAAAUGAACUUCAUCUGUCUGAAAACACGUAAAAUUUACCUUUUAAAAUAUUUAGCAAAGCAAGUGAAUUAACACUAAUAAUAAUGAUUUUAUUAAUUCUUGCUCUCCUGAGUCGAUAUUUUUUUGGCAAACUAAAAUGUCAGUCAGUAUUUGUAAAAAGGUGAAGUGUCUUUGUAGACCACCAAGCUAAUAAAAGAAGACUUUACUUAUCUUACUUGAUAUGCUGCUUCAAUAAUCUUCUUAUGAGACACUGAAUAUUUUCCUAAGCUACUUCUCGUUGCACUUUUUUGAUUACUUGUACACAUGAAGAAAGCAAGAUGAACAUCUGGAAGAGUGAAUUAUGGAAAGUGCUACGCAAGAUGAGUUCUCUGGUCAACACUUUUGAAGAGAUAUCUAAAUUAUGCUUUUAUCUGACAGUUUCAUGGUAGUUGAGAAAAAGCAUGUCAAAAAAUUGGGUUUGUGUGGGCCUGUGUGAUUUCUGGCUAGGAAAAUGAAAUAAACAAAAUUCUCCAGUGGCUGGGUUGUCAGUUGAAAAUGCAAAUCAGUGCUCCUCUGUUGCAUGUGCUCUGAUUGCAAUGGCUUAGAGCAUGAGGUUUUUUUACAAGAGUAAUCUCCCACCCCAAAAAGCCAUUUUCUUUCUCAACUAGGGAAAAACAAGUUUCAGAAAUACAAUCACUGAAAGCCAACAUUUCAUUCAUCUACAUGCAAAUCAGCAGUAUACACCACGCUUGAGUCUCACAGGAAAGAUUGGAACUGACACAGCCUCCAAGCAAAAUGGAGCUUAGCCUAUUUCUGCUGUGAAGUGAUUGAAAGCCAUGAAUUUUCCAUCACUUUCUCACAGGCUGAUGAGUGUCUCCUUUCCUUGGCAUUUCAGUUUCUUCCUAAUUUCAGAAUUGGAAAGUUGAACUGUUCACAGCUCUUGCUGUAUAAAGCAAUGGUCAGCAUCAAUAAAUGUCCCACUAAGAUGUCAUGCACCACAGGCCUGUUUGCACUGCUGGAUGAAAUACUGAAACUGAAAUUAUUUCCACUACACAGAACUGUUGUCUUCUGAUAAUUCUGUUGCAUAUUAAGUCCUGAGAUUUGAUAAAGUGAUGCUGUGGUCAAAGCAGUCGAA
This is an RNA transcript of Colius striatus (speckled mousebird), 8681 nucleotides long. It is a transcript of the gene named BRO1 domain and CAAX motif containing, with no coding region annotated. The record is from RefSeq and is a predicted model, not a curated record. The transcript has 17 exons. NCBI's taxonomy places the organism in Eukaryota, Metazoa, Chordata, Aves, Coliiformes, Coliidae.